RNAcentral lists this ribosomal RNA (398 nucleotides) under uncultured bacterium. RNAcentral describes it as "bacterial SSU rRNA". It matches the Rfam family "Bacterial small subunit ribosomal RNA", at positions 30 to 422 of the family's 1533-position model. The record is from RNAcentral.
AGUGAACGCUGGCGGCAGGCCUAAUACAUGCAAGUCGAACGGCAGCACAGCAGAGCUUGCUCUGUGGGUGGCGAGUGGCGGACGGGUGAGGAAUACGUGGGAAUCUGCCCAGUCGUGGGGAUAACGUAGGGAAACUUACGCUAAUACCGCAUGCGCCCUUCGGGGGAAAGCCGGGGGACCUUCGGGCCUGGCGCGAUUGGAUGAGCCCACGUCGGAUUAGCUAGUUGGCGGGGUAAAGGCCCACCAAGGCGACGAUCCGUAGCUGGUCUGAGAGGAUGAUCAGCCACACUGGAACUGAGACACGGUCCAGACUCCUACGGGAGGCAGCAGUAGGGAAUAUUGGACAAUGGGCGCAAGCCUGAUCCAGCCAUGCCGCGUGAGUGAAGAAGGCCCUCGGG